GUGGGGAAUAUUGGGCAAUGGGCGGAAGCCUGACCCAGCGACGCCGCGUGGGGGAAGAAGUCUUUCGGGAUGUAAACCCUUGUUGUACGGGACGAAGGAAGUGACGGUACCGUACGAGGAAGCCCCGGCAAACUACGUGCCAGCAGCCGCGGUAAUACGUAGGGGGCGAGCGUUGUCCGGAAUCACUGGGCGUAAAGCGCACGUAGGCGGGCUGUCAAGUCGGCCGUGAAAGGCACGGGCUCAACCUGUGCAUGUCGGUCGAUACUGGCGGUCUGGAGUAUGGGAGAGGGAACUGGAAUUCCCGGUGUAGCGGUGAAAUGCGUAGAUAUCAUCCAGAACACCGAUUGCGAAGGCAGGUGGCUGUACCUUAAUCGACGCUGAUGCACGAAAGCAUGGGGAGCAAACAGGAUUAGAAACCCGGGUAGUCC
RNAcentral lists this ribosomal RNA (428 nucleotides) under uncultured bacterium. Its description in RNAcentral is "partial 16S ribosomal RNA". It matches the Rfam family "Bacterial small subunit ribosomal RNA", at positions 354 to 796 of the family's 1533-position model. The record is from RNAcentral.